UACGUAGGUCCCGAGAGUUAUCCGGAAUUAUUGGGCGUAAAGAGUGAGCAGGCGGCAUAGCAAGUCUGAGGUGAAAGCGUGGGGCUCAACCCGAUACAGCCUUGGAAACUACUAAGCUAGAAUGCGUGAGAGGUUAGCGGAACUCCAUGUGUAGCGGUGAAAUGCGUAGAUAUAUGGAAGAACACCAGUGGCGAAGGAGGCUAACCAGCACUGCAUUGACGCUCAGUCACGAAAGCGUGGGGAGCAAAUA
RNAcentral lists this ribosomal RNA (250 nucleotides) under uncultured prokaryote. Its description in RNAcentral is "partial 16S ribosomal RNA". It matches the Rfam family "Bacterial small subunit ribosomal RNA", at positions 524 to 774 of the family's 1533-position model. The record is from RNAcentral.